GGGCUGCAGUGAGGAAUUUUGCGCAAUGGGGGCAACCCUGACGCAGCAACGCCGCGUGAGUGAAGAAGGCCUUUGGGUCGUAAAGCUCUGUCAAUCGGGAAGAAGUUAUUGUUAUCUAAUAGGUGGCAGUAUUGACGGUACCGAUGAAGGAAGCACCGGCUAACUCCGUGCCAGCAGCCGCGGUAAUACGGGGGGUGCAAGCGUUAUUCGGAAUUAUUGGGCGUAAAGGGCGCGUAGGCGGUUUUGUCGGUCAGAUGUGAAAGCCCGGGGCUCAACCCUGGAAGUGCAUUUGAAACAGCAAGACUUGAGUACGGGAGAGGAAAGCGGAAUUCCUGGUGUAGAGGUGAAAUUCGUAGAUAUCAGGAGGAACACCGAUGGCGAAGGCAGCUUUCUGGACCGAUACUGACGCUGAGGCGCGAAGGCGUGGGUAGCGAACAGGAUUAGAUACCCCGGUAGUC
This 458-nucleotide ribosomal RNA is filed under the name uncultured Desulfobacula sp. RNAcentral's name for it is "bacterial SSU rRNA". It matches the Rfam family "Bacterial small subunit ribosomal RNA", at positions 346 to 795 of the family's 1533-position model. Lineage: Bacteria; Pseudomonadati; Thermodesulfobacteriota; Desulfobacteria; Desulfobacterales; Desulfobacteraceae. The record is from RNAcentral.